CCACGGUCCGGCGGCGCGAGGCGGUGUCGCAGGUAGCACAGACCCAUGUAGCCUCCCUGGAGGGCCACACCACUGAGGAUAAAGUCGUGCUUCUGGCAGGUUCUCCCCUGCCGGGUGAAGCCAUCCUGGGUCAGUGUGGGGUAGAAGCUCUGGCCACCCUGGAGAUGGUUGGCCGCAUGCUAGGAGGUGACUGGGGCCACAGAGGCCAAACUGCUGCCACGGGGCUGUUUACGAUCCUUAGACUUGUUUGCCUUUCACAAUAUCUAAUAUUUUUUGCUUUAAUUUACAAUAUCUAAAAACAGGCUGAUUUUGUAUUUAAAGUACAGUAUCUGCUUUUGCUUCAAAAAUUGGGAAGAUCUGGUGACAGUGGGCCUGCGUUCCCACAUAGCAAGAGUCCACCCCAGCUGAGUAAUGGCUGCUCCCUUUGGAAGGUUUUACAGUUUGCUGCAGUUUCCACUCCUCCCUCCUCCACUCCUCCAAACCAGUAUCAGUUACCAUUUAUCAUCAGCUUGAGCUGUUGUUUCUCUUAUAGUAAAGAGACGUGAACUCUCUUUUUGUACCUAUGUCUCUGUCAAAGUGGGAAAACGAAAAAUGGAUCAAGAGCGCUGCAUGUUUCAAGAAAAGUGGGAACCAGCAUAUUUCUUUGUGGAAGUUAAGAAUAGUCCUGUGUUUAGUAUGUAACCAGACUUUGUAUCAAAAGAAAACAACUUAAGACACCAUUAUGAAACAAGCCAUAAAAAAAAAAAAAAAGAAACAAACCAUAGUCAGAAUCUUGAUUGGUAUAUGGAAAAGA
Long non-coding RNA from Canis lupus familiaris (dog), 793 nucleotides. RefSeq lists it as uncharacterized. NCBI's taxonomy places the organism in Eukaryota, Metazoa, Chordata, Mammalia, Carnivora, Canidae. The record is from RefSeq and is a predicted model, not a curated record. The transcript has 2 exons.